Molecule: microRNA precursor, 59 nt
Filed under: Magallana gigas (Pacific oyster)
Lineage: Eukaryota; Metazoa; Mollusca; Bivalvia; Ostreida; Ostreidae
Description: Mgi-Mir-1989_pre stem-loop
Source: RNAcentral
UCAGCUGUCACGAUGCCUUCUUGUGUGAAUAGAGUAAGAAGUUGUCGAGACAGCUGUGU